UGCAUUAUUUGGAAGUGUAGAGAAUUUUUUGUUGAGAUUGUGUAGUGGCUGCUAGUUAAACGAAAAAAGUGAUAUUUUGUAUAAAAAGUAUUAUAACAAUUUUUUAUAUUAGUAAGCUAUGUCUGUUGAUGCAUUUUAUCAUCAAAUCCCGUAUUUGGAUCCAGAUUACGAGGACUCUCGUUCCAAUCAUUUUGAACAAAAUGCGUAUGAUAGUGGUCGGCAAGAAGAUGAGGACGAAGAUACGGAUGACGCGAGUGAAACUGAAUACCGGAACAACAGCAGGGACAACAGCGUUAGCAACAAUACAAAUGGGGGCAGCAAUCAUGAGCUUAAGGAACAAAUGUACCAACAUAAAUUGGCAAACGUGCAAAAGCAGUUAGAAGAGCUGAAACAGUUGUUACAUCCUGAGUACUUAAGGCGUUUCAGAAAAUUGGAGUACCAAAUCAAAGAUCGUCUGCGUUUAAAUGACAUACAUCGAGAGUAUCUAAAAGAUUGUGUAGAACGCGAUUAUUUUUUAGAAAAGAAAGCAGCACAAAAAGACUUUGAUGAGAAAAAGGUUGAUUUAAAAGACAACAUUUUAACUGAUUUCGACGAGCGAAGAAAAGUUAUUGAAAUGGAACGCUACAGCCUCGAAGUAACCGGUGAUUCUACAGAGAUUAAGCCUACUGUUACACGUAAGUUGCGGCGUCGUCCAAAUGAACCAGUGCCUGUUGUUGAAAAACGACGGAAACCAACUACUGGACAACUGUUGGUGUAUUUACUUGAUGAGAAGGAUAUUGAGAAUGACCUCAAAACGAUACAACGCGGAAAACCGUUGACUCCAACUCUGCAGCAAAAUGGCAUAGGUAAUUAUAGUAACCACCAGUCCAACUCUUUGCUGACGGAAAAUUAUAAUAAUUAUGUUGAAACUCGAAUUGAGGACGGUAAACUAUUGUAUGAAAGGAGAUGGUUUCAUCGUGGACAGCAAGUAUAUGUUGAAGGCAAGGAAAUGCCAAAAUUUGCGGCAACAAUAAACGCUAUUGGAAAUGAAGUUGUUUGGGUAGAAUGCUAGAUUAUAUAGUCGACCCACAGUAUGAUUAUAAACCUAAAACGUACAAGAAAUCAAACACAAAUUCUGAUCUUAACGUAUGAAAUAUAAUGCUGACCAUAUAAUAAACAUAUCUAGUUAAGUGAAUCAAAUAAUUGUAAUAGUUGUAAUCUUCUAAUCGACAGAGGGUAUUAUCAGAUGGAAACGAUUAAAAAUGUUAAAUUCAAACGGAGUAAGCUAUAAAUAAUGAUUAAAGUUGUAUAUGAGUUAACUACAUUCAAUUAUAUUUUGUAUUUAGUUUAAUAUCAAAUAACAAUGCAAGAGUUCAAUACAGAAAUACUCAAAAUAUGAUGAAAACGCAUUCGUUUCAUUAAGUUACGUAUGUGCAGAAAACAGUAAAUAAUAAAUUCAUUGUAAUUAAUAUUGAUAAUAAAACAUGUAAAUAAAUAAUUUGUAAUAAUAACUGGAACUAGCUGACCUAUAGUUCCCAUUUUAAGAAAAUGGCAUUUUAAAUAAAAAAUCGAUUAUAAA
Molecule: RNA transcript, 1558 nt
Organism: Teleopsis dalmanni
Lineage: Eukaryota; Metazoa; Arthropoda; Insecta; Diptera; Diopsidae
Gene name: sin3 histone deacetylase corepressor complex component SDS3-like
Exons: 9
Source: RefSeq, a predicted model, not a curated record